UGCCACUCCCGACCUGAAACUUCUAGA
Molecule: non-coding RNA, 27 nt
Filed under: Mus musculus (house mouse)
Lineage: Eukaryota; Metazoa; Chordata; Mammalia; Rodentia; Muridae
Source: RNAcentral